This 73-nucleotide transfer RNA is filed under the name Pseudonocardiaceae bacterium. RNAcentral describes it as "tRNA-Lys". It matches the Rfam family "tRNA". From Rfam's summary of the family: Transfer RNA (tRNA) molecules are approximately 80 nucleotides in length. Their secondary structure includes four short double-helical elements and three loops (D, anti-codon, and T loops). Further hydrogen bonds mediate the characteristic L-shaped molecular structure. tRNAs have two regions of fundamental functional importance: the anti-codon, which is responsible for specific mRNA codon recognition, and the 3' end, to which the tRNAs corresponding amino acid is attached (by aminoacyl-tRNA synthetases). tRNAs cope with the degeneracy of the genetic code in two manners: having more than one tRNA (with a specific anti-codon) for a particular amino acid; and 'wobble' base-pairing, i.e. permitting non-standard base-pairing at the 3rd anti-codon position. Lineage: Bacteria; Bacillati; Actinomycetota; Actinomycetes; Pseudonocardiales; Pseudonocardiaceae. RNAcentral also lists the same sequence under 3 other names. The record is from RNAcentral.
GGGCCGUUAGCUCAAUAGGUAGAGCUGCAGACUUUUAAUCUGUAGGUUCUGGGUUCGAGCCCCAGGCGGCCCA